Molecule: long non-coding RNA, 807 nt
Organism: Mytilus californianus (California mussel)
Lineage: Eukaryota; Metazoa; Mollusca; Bivalvia; Mytilida; Mytilidae
Exons: 2
Source: RefSeq, a predicted model, not a curated record
AACAUCCCAUGUGAUUAUUGUAAUAUGGUCUAAUUAUUUCCACUCACAUUUUUCUAAAUAUCCUAUAAACUUUUCAUUAUAAAUAUAUGUCUGUUUAAAUAUUAUUAUAUGCAAUACUACUGUACAGGACUGACUUUUAGAUGGAACCAUUCAUUGUUAUAAUUAAUGACUUUGUGCCAAUAAAUAUUUUGUAUUUAAAGAAAAGUAUUUUGCUUCUCGUCUGUACAUUAUUAUAAACAAUGUAAACAUUAAUUUUAAUUGGAACCGAAACAUGUAAAAACGAGAACUUCCCGGAAUAUCAGACCGUAUCCGGAUUCGUGUUUCUUUUAGAGUAAUUGUAACAUUUCCGCACUUAGGUUGGAAAUUUGAAAGACGCCAAAGGUCGAUUAAUAUUUACUUUAUAGAUGCAAGACGAGUGACAGCAAGUUUGAGGAAUGAAGAGCAAAAGGAUAUAGCAGUCUUUAUAUAAAAUAGUUCAGGAAUCCAGUUGGAUAGAAGAGCUUUUCAGUUAAAAGUAUUUCCUGGGAAUUAACAGGAACUUCUAUAAAUGUUUUUCUGGAAUAGUUAUUCAAAGGGGCAUUGAAGUGAAGGAUUACAUUAGACAAAUAUUGCUGAAGUGGUAAAUUCAGACCCAAGAGAUGUACAAAAUUUCUACAAUACAUGUUACAGCUGACUUUAGCUACUUAAUCACACUGACAUUUGUGUGCUUUUAUGUUUUCUUUACAUAAUUACUACAGUUCUAUUAAAAUUAAUAUUUUUAUUCUUUGUCACAAUUAUUACUAAAAAAAAUACAGCAUUUUAAUAUGG